UCUCCGUUGGUGAACCAGCGGAGGGAUCAUUACCGAGUUUACAACUCCCAAACCCAAUGUGAACGUUACCAAACUGUUGCCUCGGCGGGAUCUCUGCCCCGGGUGCGUCGCAGCCCCGGACCAAGGCGCCCGCCGGAGGACCAACCAAAACUCUUAUUGUAUACCCCCCCGCGGGUUUUUUUUUAUAAUCUGAGCCUUCUCGGCGCCUCUCGUAGGCGUUUCGAAAAUGAAUCAAAACUUUCAACAACGGAUCUCUUGGUUCUG
Molecule: unclassified non-coding RNA, 264 nt
Filed under: plant metagenome
Description: partial contains small subunit ribosomal RNA, internal transcribed spacer 1, and 5.8S ribosomal RNA
Source: RNAcentral